CGGGGUAUAGCGCAGUUUGGUAGCGCGCUUCGUUCGGGACGAAGAGGCCCUCGGUUCGAAUCCGAGUACCCCGACCA
RNAcentral lists this transfer RNA (77 nucleotides) under Bacillota bacterium. RNAcentral describes it as "Firmicutes bacterium (anaerobic digester metagenome) tRNA-Pro". It matches the Rfam family "tRNA". Rfam says of the family: Transfer RNA (tRNA) molecules are approximately 80 nucleotides in length. Their secondary structure includes four short double-helical elements and three loops (D, anti-codon, and T loops). RNAcentral also lists the same sequence under 1 other name. The record is from RNAcentral. Lineage: Bacteria; Bacillati; Bacillota.